GUGCUUCGACGAGCUGCUGUCUCGCAACCUCAGGAUCGGGAAAAACUCGCCCCAAACUGGGAAGGACCGUAUGAAGUCAAAGAAGUAGUCUGGCCCAGAGCUUAUUAUCUUAAGAAACUCGGAGGAGCCAACCUCCCGUGACCAUGGAGCUUGAAAAACUUAUGGAUGUACUACCAAUAACUUCAUUUUAAUCGAAAGUUGCAUACCUGUAUGUCUUUGGACAAUUCAAACAAACUGUAUCAGAAACUAAAGGGAAACCUCAUCCCGACAAAGUCGAAGGCCCAGUUCCAUUUAGAUCGGAUGGGAGGAGAGGCCCUGCAACGCCCAUAUGCGCCCCCACAGCCCUGUUAGGGACAGAAGGAAAAUCUCGCUCUAACUUGAGCAAAGUUGAAGGCCCGGUUCCAUUUAGACCGGAUGGGGGGAGAGGCCCUGCAACGCCCACAUGUGCCCCCACAGUCCUGUUAGGGACAGGAGGAAAACCUCGCCCUAACUUGAGCAAAGUCGAAGGCCCAGUUCCAUUU
Molecule: long non-coding RNA, 521 nt
Filed under: Elaeis guineensis (African oil palm)
Lineage: Eukaryota; Viridiplantae; Streptophyta; Magnoliopsida; Arecales; Arecaceae
Description: long non-coding RNA (EGUI_LNC070671)
Source: RNAcentral